RNAcentral lists this ribosomal RNA (394 nucleotides) under Sesarmoides borneensis. RNAcentral describes it as "partial 12S ribosomal RNA". The record is from RNAcentral. Lineage: Eukaryota; Metazoa; Arthropoda; Malacostraca; Decapoda; Sesarmidae.
AAAGUGCUAAAUUAGUAAUAGUUAAAUUCUUAAAAAUUAAAAAAUUUGGCGGUAAUUUAAUCUUUUCAGAGGAAUUUGUUUUUUAAUCGAUAAACCACGAAGAAUCUUACUUAUUUUUGUUAUAAUAACCAGUUUGUAUACCAUCAUUAUCAGGUAAUUCUUAAAAGAAAAAUUACUAAAUGUAAAUUAUUAUAAAAAUUAGAUCAUGGUGCAGCUUAUAAAUAAGGUAAAAUGAAUUACAAUAAAUUAUUUUAAAAUGGAUUAAUAAUGUAAGAAGUUAUUAUGAAGGAGGAUUUGAUUGUAUUAUAAGUUUAAUAAGCUUAUAGGAUAAAAGCUCUAAAUUGUGUACAUAUCGCCCGUCGCUUUCAUUUAUAAUGAAAUAAGUCGUAACAUA